UGGGUUUAUUGAUGGGAAGGCGGUUGUUGGUUCGGCAUUGUAACAUUUAGAUCGUAACGGUUUUUUUUGGUGUCUGUUGUUUUGUGAUUUUUGUGAAAGAUCAGGUUUAAGGUAAGUCAAGUGAUUUUGUUUUUAUUGAUGUACUGUAUAAUGGAAGAAUACAUUUAUUAUAGUCUUAGAUACUUAGACUAUAUUUAUUUAAAUGAUAAACUUAUUGAAAGACUAGCCACAUAACCUCAAAGCCUCAUAAUUAGCCUUAAUGAAUUAUUUAUGGCAUAAUUUCAAUAAUAAUAAAAGUAAGCCUCUUAAAUCUAUUAGUGCUGGAAAAGAAAAAUCUAAGUUGCAGACACAAUACCAGAAGAUAAACUGAUCCUUGCAGGAAAUGUUAAAAUUGGGAAAGCUGGAGAUUCCCAGUUCACUAAAAAUUUAUGCUCGAAAAAAGAAGCGUGACUGGACGAAAAUCGAACGUCCACAAGGACUUCCAAGCAAAAACAAUGUUGACACCCCAAAAAAUGGAUAGUUUAAGAAAAAUGUUCAAACGACGGAUCCUCGAGGAGAAUCCGAAUGCUUCGAGAAGUGAGAUGGAAUUAAGAUGAGCUAGCAUUAACCAGUACGUUGCUCAAAAGAUCGCAACCCUAAACAGAAAAAGCUUCAAAUCUCCUGGAGCACUCCCAGAUAAGGACAUAUUAAUUCAUGAAUAAUAUAUAUGUAAUGUAAUGUUUCUUCAUAAAUAAUAUAAUUAUAUAUGAGCUACUUUAAUAAACAAUUUUGCAUUUUA
Molecule: long non-coding RNA, 778 nt
Organism: Nilaparvata lugens (brown planthopper)
Lineage: Eukaryota; Metazoa; Arthropoda; Insecta; Hemiptera; Delphacidae
Exons: 3
Source: RefSeq, a predicted model, not a curated record